Molecule: ribosomal RNA, 253 nt
Filed under: uncultured bacterium
Lineage: Bacteria
Description: partial 16S ribosomal RNA
Rfam family: Bacterial small subunit ribosomal RNA
Source: RNAcentral
UACGUAGGUGGCAAGCGUUAUCCGGAUUUAUUGGGCGUAAAGGGGACGCAGGCGGUCUUUUAAGUCUGAUGUGAAAGCCUUCGGCUUAACCGGAGUAGUGCAUUGGAAACUGGGAGACUUGAGUGCAGAAGAGGAGAGUGGAACUCCAUGUGUAGCGGUGAAAUGCGUAGAUAUAUGGAAGAACACCGGUGGCGAAGGCGGCCUGCUGGACUGCAACUGACGUUGAGGCCCGAAAGCGUGGGGAGCAAACAGG